Molecule: long non-coding RNA, 1546 nt
Organism: Cyprinus carpio (common carp)
Lineage: Eukaryota; Metazoa; Chordata; Actinopteri; Cypriniformes; Cyprinidae
Source: Ensembl
CGUGCCUACACUGGAGGGGGUGGUGUUUAAGAAAUCACUAUAUGGGGUAUGUAGCCCUUUAAACAACACUCUAAUAAAGAUUUUUAAUUGCAAUACAACAACGCUGAUUAUUUUUCCAAGCAGUAAGAUUAAAUAACAGUGUGUCUUAUUUCAUUGUCAUGAAGUCUACCUACUCAUUUAUAUAUAUUUUUUUUUCAUUCUGUGCUGUCUCUACACUUUACUUGGUUAUCAGUCUUGUUUUUUGUUUUCUUUUUUCAUGGGAGUGUUGGCAUCUAACAUCCACAUUCCAUAUGAACUAUGUGACCAACCAAAUGUUCUCCGUUGCAGGUUUGCAGAAUGACAGGUGUUACAGAGUUUUCAAACGGCAUGCCAGUGAGUUAUUCCCCACACCAAACUUGGCAGCAACAUCAAGACAGCCUCUGAGCUGUGACUUCAGCAACAAGAGCACACAAAAUGCAUCAAAGCGAAGCUUUUAACAGCACUAGAUUAGCAGGCAUUUGGUUCUUCAGUGGUUUUAGCAGCAUGUCAGAGAGGAGGAGAUGCUCUGGGACCAUGAGUUGAGGAGACAAUGUCAUUCUUCCUUUGAUAGAUGGAUCUUUUGGUUAGUAAAGCAUUUCUGUGUAAAAGCUUAUGUGAUUAUGUGACCUGGCCUUGUCUCCCCCCGGGUUUUUAUGGAGUUCAACAGAAUUACGGGCAAAAAUCUAAAGUAGGAAUUCUAUGAAAACCUGGACAGACACAGUUCACUGGUUUAUGGACCUUUUUAAAACCAGAAGGGGGACUCCUGGUGAGCACUUGUUGAAGUUUUUACAGCAAAUAGAGUCAGACCAGCCAACUGAGGUGCGAACCCUGGUUCUUCGAGGACAGCCUAUUAUGCUGGUAGAUGAAGACUCUUCUUUCUUCAAGUCAUGUUUAGGUGGGAGGGUGAUGCAGUGUGGAGAAAACCAUCUCAGCUGCGGACAGGCCCUCCUCAGCAACAAAAGGCAGACGUUUUCUCCUGCCGCUUGCGACUGGGACAUGUGGCACACUGACAUUCCCAGCACCCACACUGGCAGGGGAAUGUGCCAAUUAGUGGCCAUCUCAGGGAGGGGGCGUGGGGGGUUGGUGGGGAGAUGGUCGGGCUGGGGGAGGGGUGAUGAGCCGUGGAUGGAGGUGGGUAGGGGUGGAGUAGUGGCAUUGACACCAGACCUCAGGAAUGCCUUUCACUCAGAUGUAGGGUGUAAUUAGCCGGCUGUCCCUCCCCUCCCAGCCUGCUUCGGCGGAAGUCACAGCCCACGGCCCUGUGCUGUAGGUGGGCAAGGCCAUGACCUGCAGUGGCCCCACCCAAGAGACAGAUGGAGGCGUUUGUGCGGUGAGCAUGUGCUCAAUUAUUAUGUGUGCGAAACUUAUACUCACCCACACAAGCCUCUGCUGUCAUUAUCCAAUACCCACUUCAGGUCUCACACACACACCCAUAGUCGCUCUCCCUAUGGUCAGUGGCGGACUGGCCAUCUGGAGCACCGGGAGUUUUCCCGGUGGGCCACUGUAAAAUGUGGGCCGGCCCAUUGCG